CCUACGGGAGGCAGCAGUGAGGAAUAUUGGUCAAUGGGCUUACGCCUGAACCAGCCAAGUCGCGUGAGGGAAGACUGCCCUAUGGGUUGUAAACCUCUUUUGUCAGGGAGCAACGCCGGCUACGUGUAGCCGGACUGAGAGUACUUGAAGAAAAAGCAUCGGCUAACUCCGUGCCACCAGCCGCGGUAAUACGGAGGCUGCGCGCGUUAUCCGGAUUUAGUGGUUUUAAUGGGUGCGUAGGCGGAAUGCCAAGUCAGCGGUAAAAUCUCGGGGCUCAACCUCGCUCCGCCGUUGAAACUGGCGUUCUUGAGUGGGCGAGAAGUAUGCGGAAUGCGUGGUGUAGCGGUGAAAUGCAUAGAUAUCACGAAGAACUCCGAUUGCGAAGGCAGCUCACUGGACUGCAACUGACACUGAUGCUCGAAAGUGUGGGUAUCAAACAGGAUUAGAUACCCUGGUAGUC
Molecule: ribosomal RNA, 460 nt
Filed under: uncultured bacterium
Lineage: Bacteria
Description: partial 16S ribosomal RNA
Rfam family: Bacterial small subunit ribosomal RNA
Source: RNAcentral